This 69-nucleotide transfer RNA is filed under the name Marmota marmota marmota (Alpine marmot). It matches the Rfam family "tRNA". From Rfam's summary of the family: Transfer RNA (tRNA) molecules are approximately 80 nucleotides in length. RNAcentral also lists the same sequence under 2 other names. The record is from Rfam by way of RNAcentral. Lineage: Eukaryota; Metazoa; Chordata; Mammalia; Rodentia; Sciuridae.
GGGAUGUAGCUCAGUGGAAAAGCACUUGCCUAGCAUGCACGAGGCCCUGGGUUCCAUUCCCAGAACCCA